RNAcentral lists this ribosomal RNA (434 nucleotides) under uncultured bacterium. RNAcentral's name for it is "bacterial SSU rRNA". It matches the Rfam family "Bacterial small subunit ribosomal RNA", at positions 29 to 507 of the family's 1533-position model. The record is from RNAcentral.
AACGAACGCUGGCGGCAGGCCUAACACAUGCAAGUCGAACGGGUCCUUCGGGGACUAGUGGCGGACGGGUGAGUAACGCGUGGGAACGUGCCCCUUAGUACGGGACAACGUCGGGAAACUGACGCUAAUACCGUAUAAUAUCUCCGGAUCAAAGAUUUAUCGCUGAGGGAGCGGCCCGCGUCUGAUUAGCUAGUUGGUGAGGUAAUGGCUUACCAAGGCUACGAUCAGUAGCAGGUCUGAGAGGAUGAUCUGCCACACUGGGACUGAGACACGGCCCAGACUCCUACGGGAGGCAGCAGUUAGGAAUAUUGGACAAUGGGCGAAAGCCUGAUCCAGCCAUGCCGCGUGUGUGAUGAAGGCCCUAGGGUUGUAAAGCACUUUCGUUGGGGAUGAUAAUGACCGUACCCAAAGAAGAAGCACCGGCUAACUUCGUG